This is a long non-coding RNA of Astatotilapia calliptera (eastern happy), 2742 nucleotides long. Lineage: Eukaryota; Metazoa; Chordata; Actinopteri; Cichliformes; Cichlidae. The record is from Ensembl.
UAUAAUCCAAAAACAUUGGGAAAGCUCCUUACUCUUUUUUCUUCAAAAACUUGCCUCUUGCUAGCUACCUCUAAAAUUCUACGCAGAGUCUAAGUUCUACCUCGCUCUUAAUCGCACCGAUCCCGCAACAGCUUCCAGAGCACAAUUUUUUCCUGCUUGUUCGCUCCCCGCUCUGCUCCCGAAUGCGCUGCUUACCUCGUUUGAAAAUUCCCCCCUGAGACCAACUCCGCCUCACUGCGCCCCGCUGCCAAUCACAUAACCCUUGCACCGCUCCCUUCGCACCCCGGUUAGCCAAUCCGCUCCAGGCUCGAUUUACCUUCUCAGCCAUAGGUUAAUUCACUUACUGGCAUUCAGGAUAAAUAAUCUAACAUUUCAGCUUAAAUUUAACUGUUUUUUUCUCUCUCAGAAUAAACAAGCAAGCUUUCUCUUUUUUCUCAAAGAAGCAUGGCCGUGAGACCUACCGACCUAACGGUGCUUUCUCAAACUCCUGUAAACUGCUACAGAGCUUCCGCCACGGCGUCUGAACUCAGAAGACUACAUCUCUGCAGAGUGCAGCCAACAGCAGCGGCCAACCGUUUGGAGCAAAGAUUCAGCCUCAACAAUGGCAGGUUUUGGGGUUAUGCCUUCAGCCUACCACAGAGUGAAAUCUUUUUCUAUCAGCUCAAAGCCGGUGAAAGUUUUGGACCGUUAACACCGCGAAUCGCUUUUACUAGCUCUGACUGGGCGGUUAUUACACUCAUUACCACCCCUGAAAUAGAGAGAAGCCUGCGGGAAACCAGCUCUCAGCAACCGCGAACCAGAGACCAGCAAACACAGACGCAUCGGGUUUUCAAACAGGAAGACUCAUUCCCUCCAUUCACCCAAGAACACAAACGACUCCGGAAUGAAAACACGGUGACCAAAACCGUCACAUACACCCAGUGGGAGACCAAGAGCACUCCAUUUUGCAGAUGGGUAUGUAGAGUUAGUCGACAAACAUGCGAGCAAGCUUGCACAGAUGAUUUUGUGAUCGACCUUACAAACUCCCAGUCCGGGGUUUUCAGCACAUUGCUUCGGAUUCCGACUCAGCACUGGCUCAACAUGAUGGCUGAGAACAAUGCGACAAUAUUAAACCUGUUCAAAAUGAGUAAAAGUACAACUGAGUUGGUGAUGGUUGGAAAUAACCCGCCACGGUCAACAUACCCCCACCCCCACUUCCGGCCCCCCCUUACCCCGCCUUCUCCUACCCCUAGCCCUUAAAAACCGCAAUCGCUCUCUCAUCCGCUACUUAAAACAACCAUGACUAACCACAGCUUUGGACCCCUCGGCUCUCUAUCUCCAUCAUCCCUCCGACCAUCAGCUGCUUCUACACCACCACCCAGCCCGCCAAUGGAUCUCGCUACACCGCCACCCAGCCCGCCAAUCGACCUGGCUACACCGCCACCCACUCCGCCAAUCGAUCUGGCUACUCCGCCAUCCAGUCCGUUGUUCGAGAGCCCGCAUCAGGCCUCAGCGUCUCCGGCCGCUAUGCCUCCACCCCCGCCCUCAUCACCGCAAGGCUGGAACUCGCCCAGCCAUCCACAACUAGCGGCUCUCGGGUGGCAAUCACCGGAGCAGAGCCCCUCAAGCACCGCAAUCUCCGGUGCAUCGCUGUGGGCCUUGGGCGACCCUGUGUGCCGGGCUCUUUUCCGAGAGUCUGAAGACAACGAGCCUUCGCCCGCGGACAUCGAUGAGGCCGCGACUCUACUCCCUACUGCUGUUUUUGAACUUAUAAAAUUGACUGUAAAAUACCUCGUUAACUCCUUGCUCCAGAAACACAGACAAGAUGUCUGUCAAGGAUGUGAGGUGUCACAUCCCUCACAAAGACGACAUUCAUGUCUUUUCCCACUGGAAAAAUAUUACUUUUUCAAGUACUAUGAUGAACUCAGCAGAAGAUUAUGGAAUGGACAUUUCACCAACACAUUAUUACAAAUUUUGCGGUUAGAGGGUUUUUCACCACCAGCGGCUCAAGUCAGAGGUGUGGCCCAAGCAUAUCUCUUUGAACUCCGAGAGGCCAGUGAUAUAGAGACCGCACUGUUAGAAAUUGAGUCAAGCGUUACAGAAGUUACCCGGACCACAAUUGAUAAAGUACUAUAUGACAAAUACUCCCUUUGGCUCCCCUAGUAAUCGUUUUUUCUUCUCUCCCUUUUACCAUUUAUUUUUCUUAACAUGUUUUUUAUUUUUCUUAUUUUUACUUUUAAAUGUUUUUCUCUGUUAGUUUUUAGAACUUUUCUUGUUCAUGUUUAUUGUUUUGUUCAUUACAUCAGAUUAAAUAGUUUGUUGAAAACCAUUACCUGAAAUAAAACUUUUUUGGAAAAGCAUUGCAACAAUCAAUCUUGUUAUUUGUUUCGCACCCAUUCAAAUCUAUUGCUUCCAUGACAUCAGAUUAAAUAGUUUGUGGAAAACCGUUACAUCAAAUAAAACUUUUUUGGAAAAGCGUUGUAGUAAAUCAAACUAAUUAUUUUUUCACUAGAAAAGAAACAAACUAUAAUGUUAUUAAUUAUAUCAAAUAAAAAAUAUAUUUGCAAACUCGUUACAUGACAUAAAACUAGCCGCUCAUAAUGAAAUAAAACCAUAGUUAAACAUAACUUGAAAGAUCACACAUGGCAGAGCAGAAUCUAUUGAAACGUGCAUAUUAUGACCCAGCUCACCCUGGUAGCUUUUGCGGUGUGGAAAAAUUGAUUAAAAGCAUACAGGAUGAAACUGGUACAAAGAUUAACGCGC